RNAcentral lists this ribosomal RNA (492 nucleotides) under uncultured bacterium. Its description in RNAcentral is "partial 16S ribosomal RNA". It matches the Rfam family "Bacterial small subunit ribosomal RNA", at positions 29 to 507 of the family's 1533-position model. The record is from RNAcentral.
AGUGAACGCUGGCGGUAGGCCUAACACAUGCAAGUCGGACGGCAGCACAGUAAGAGCUUGCUCUUACGGGUGGCGAGUGGCGGACGGGUGAGGAAUACAUCGGAAUCUACUUUUUCGUGGGGGAUAACGUAGGGAAACUUACGCUAAUACCGCAUACGACCUACGGGUGAAAGCAGGGGAUCUUCGGACCUUGCGCGAUUGUAUGAGCCGAUGUCGGAUUAGCUAGUUGGCGGGGUAAAGGCCCACCAAGGCGACGAUCCGUAGCUGGUCUGAGAGGAUGAUCAGCCACACUGGAACUGAGACACGGUCCAGACUCCUACGGGAGGCAGCAGUGGGGAAUAUUGGACAAUGGGCGCAAGCCUGAUCCAGCCAUACCGCGUGGGUGAAGAAGGCCUUCGGGUUGUAAAGCCCUUUUGUUGGGAAAGAAAAGCAGCAGGUUAAUACCCCGCUGUUCUGACGGUACCCAAAGAAUAAGCACCGGCUAACUUCGUG